This 497-nucleotide ribosomal RNA is filed under the name uncultured bacterium. RNAcentral describes it as "partial 16S ribosomal RNA". It matches the Rfam family "Bacterial small subunit ribosomal RNA", at positions 28 to 507 of the family's 1533-position model. The record is from RNAcentral.
GAUGAACGCUGGCGGCGUGCCUAAUACAUGCAAGUCGAGCGAACGGACGAGAAGCUUGCUUCUCUGAUGUUAGCGGCGGACGGGUGAGUAACACGUGGAUAACCUACCUAUAAGACUGGGAUAACUUCGGGAAACCGGAGCUAAUACCGGAUAAUAUUUUGAACCGCAUGGUUCAAAAGUGAAAGACGGUUUUGCUGUCACUUAUAGAUGGAUCCGCGCUGCAUUAGCUAGUUGGUAAGGUAACGGCUUACCAAGGCAACGAUGCAUAGCCGACCUGAGAGGGUGAUCGGCCACACUGGAACUGAGACACGGUCCAGAGUCCUACGGGAGGCAGCAGUAGGGAAUCUUCCGCAAUGGGCGAAAGCCUGACGAAGCAACGCCGCGUGAGUGAUGAAGGUCUUCGGAUCGUAAAACUCUGUUAUUAGGGAAGAACAUAUGUGUAAGUAACUGUGCACAUCUUGACGGUACCUAAUCAGAAAGCCACGGCUAACUACGUG